RNAcentral lists this long non-coding RNA (244 nucleotides) under Carica papaya (papaya). RNAcentral's name for it is "long non-coding RNA (CPAP_LNC008103)". Lineage: Eukaryota; Viridiplantae; Streptophyta; Magnoliopsida; Brassicales; Caricaceae. The record is from RNAcentral.
UUACACUACGUCAGCUACCCGGUCAGCAGCCCUGACCAACCAGGACGCGUCAAGUGACAGAGACGUUGACGCGGGAGGCCACGCGGAGGGGAGCCGCGUGGGUGAUCCGCGUGCGUGCGAUCGAACGGCUGAGAUUUGUUCCCGCACGCACGGACGUACCAGAUUAAAAACGCGUACGGACAACCCAGAUUGCAUCGCACACAGAUAGUUAGAUUGAAUCGCGCACGGAUGACACAGAUUGAAU